AAUGGGAUAGCUGGGUCAAAUGGUGCUUCCAUUCCAAGUUUUCUAGGGAAUCUCCAUACUGCUUUCCAGAGUGGUUGCACUAAUUUGCAAUCCCACCAGAAAU
Molecule: microRNA precursor, 103 nt
Filed under: Marmota monax (woodchuck)
Lineage: Eukaryota; Metazoa; Chordata; Mammalia; Rodentia; Sciuridae
Source: RNAcentral